This 399-nucleotide long non-coding RNA is filed under the name Bos taurus (domestic cattle). Its description in RNAcentral is "long non-coding RNA NONBTAT026742". The record is from RNAcentral. Lineage: Eukaryota; Metazoa; Chordata; Mammalia; Artiodactyla; Bovidae.
AGUUUUGCACAUUCAACCAUUUAUUCUUUUGUUCAUUGAAUAAACAUGAAUUGAGCACCUACCUUAUUACAUACUCUUCCCUCCAGGUACUCAUAUAGGAUAAUGGGACAAUCCAUGGUUCCAAGCAUGGUUAUGACUGCAGACAUACAGGACUGUGGGAAGGGGUGGCUGAGAAGACAGAGGGGAUUAGUUUACAUGAUACCACUUCUAAGAUGGGAUGAAGAUUCAGAAAGCAUUCUGAAAGAUGGCAGGAAAUGAAGCUGGAGUGAUGGGCUGGAGUUUGGCUACCUCACUACAACUGACUCAAAUCCUCAAAUUAAAGACUUUCUGCUGCAUGUGAUAAGGGUGCCAUUCGAAGGUUAUGUGACAUGACAAAAUUUGUAUUUUAGAAAAAUAAUG